This is a long non-coding RNA of Haliotis rubra (blacklip abalone), 770 nucleotides long. RefSeq lists it as uncharacterized. The transcript has 3 exons. The record is from RefSeq and is a predicted model, not a curated record. Lineage: Eukaryota; Metazoa; Mollusca; Gastropoda; Lepetellida; Haliotidae.
GUCCAGGACAGGUGGAAACAUGAGUGUCUAGGACAGGUGGAAACGUGAGUGUCCAGGACAGGUGGAAACGUGAGUGUCUAGGACAGGUGGAAACGUGAGUGUCUAGGACAGGUGGAAACGUGAGUGUCCAGGACAGGUGGAAACAUGAGUGUCUAGGACAGGUGGAAACGUGAGUGUCUAGGACAGGUGGAAACAUGAGUGUCUAGGACAGGUGGAAACAUGAGUUUCCAUUGCAGUCCCAGCUUUUCUGCCACAGUCAUGAGAGGGAAUGUUACAGGAUUGUUACAGUGAUGUUACAGACUUCGCAACGUGUGCUUCAGUUGUUAGUAACAACAGUGCAUAGCUGUCAAGUACUUCCUAGUGAUGGGUGUGAUGCAACUACAGAUGUGCAGAUGUGUGGUUUGUAGAGCUUGGCUUCGCAUUGUGAGCUUACUUGACUCAUUAUUAUCGACAAGAGAAGCCUAUAGGCAGGGUUUCACAAAGUGAUCGAAGGACAUUGAUUGUCAUAUAUCCAUGUAAAACUACAAGCUGCAUUCACUAUGUGAAUCAGCACCGUGCAUUCUAUAUAUUGCAUUUACACAUCAGGUACUUACUGAAGCACCAUUAACCGGGAAUAAUCGAACCGGGCCAUAACAGAUUGAUUCAUGUGAUUGUAGUCACUCCUCAUUUCGUAUCUAGGUAGUUGUCUGACAAGCCAUGGUUUACUGCUUAUCUUUUUGGCACACCAGAAAACUUUGAUUGUGGGUUCGAAUGCCGGCUUGCCCUAAAUC